Molecule: ribosomal RNA, 497 nt
Filed under: uncultured bacterium
Lineage: Bacteria
Description: partial 16S ribosomal RNA
Rfam family: Bacterial small subunit ribosomal RNA
Source: RNAcentral
GAUGAACGCUGGCGGCGUGCCUAAUACAUGCAAGUCGAGCGCACGGACGAGAAGCUUGCUUCUCUGAUGUUAGCGUCGGACGGGUGAGUAACACGUUGAUACCCUACCUAUAAGACUGGGAUAACUUCGUGAAACCGGAGCUAAUACCGUAUUAUAUUUUGAACCUCAUUGUUCAAAAGUGAAAGACGGUCUUGCUGUCACUUAUCGAUGGAUCCGCGCUGCAUUAGCUAUUUGGUAAGGUAACGGCUUACCAAGGCAACGAUGCAUAGCCGACCUGAGAGGGUGAUCGGCCACACUGGAACUGAGACACGGUCAAGACUCCUACGGGAGGCAGCAGUAGGGAAUCUCCCGCAAUGGGCAAAAGCCUGACGGAGCAACGCCGCGUGAGUGAUGAAGGUCUUCGGAUCGUAAAACUCUGUUAUUAGGGAAGAACAGAUGUGUAAGUAACUGUGCACAUCUUGACGGUACCUAAUCAGAAAGCCACGGCUAACUACGUG